Molecule: ribosomal RNA, 253 nt
Filed under: uncultured bacterium
Lineage: Bacteria
Description: partial 16S ribosomal RNA
Rfam family: Bacterial small subunit ribosomal RNA
Source: RNAcentral
GACAGAGGUGCCAAGCGUUAGGCGGAAUCACUGGGCUUAAAGCGUGUGUAGGCGGAUCGUUAAGUACCUUGUGAAAUCCCACGGCUCAACCGUGGAACUGCUGGGUAUACUGGCGGUCUUGAGCCACCUAGGGGCAACUGGAACAAGCGGUGGAGCGGUGAAAUGCGUAGAUAUCGCUUGGAACGCCAACGGUGGAAACAGGUUGCUGGGGGUGUGCUGACGCUGAGACACGAAAGCCAGGGGAGCGAACGGG